GUUUUUGAAGGAUAACAGCUUAUCCCCUGGUCUUAGGAACCAGAAACUCUUGGUGCAAGUCCAAGCAAAAACU
This 73-nucleotide transfer RNA is filed under the name Uranoscopus bicinctus. RNAcentral's name for it is "tRNA-Leu". The record is from RNAcentral. Lineage: Eukaryota; Metazoa; Chordata; Actinopteri; Uranoscopiformes; Uranoscopidae. RNAcentral also lists the same sequence under 1 other name.